GACGAACGCUGGCGGCGUGCCUAACACAUGCAAGUCGAACGGGGUCCAUGGGAGCUUGCUCCCGGAAGACCUAGUGGCGAACGGGUGAGUAACACGUGAGAAACCUGCCCUGGAGUGGGGAAUAACUCGGGGAAACUCGAGCUAAUACCGCAUACCCUCGGAUGGUCGCAUGGCCGACCGAGGAAAGAUUUAUCGCUUCAGGAGGGUCUCGCGGCCUAUCAGCUAGUUGGUGGGGUAACGGCCUACCAAGGCAACGACGGGUAGCUGGUUUGAGAGAACGAUCAGCCACACUGGGACUGAGACACGGCCCAGACUCCUACGGGAGGCAGCAGUGGGGAAUCUUGCGCAAUGGGCGAAAGCCUGACGCAGCAACGCCGCGUGCGGGAUGACGGGCCUUCGUGGUUGUAAACCGCUUUCAGCAGGACGAAAAUGACGGUACCUGCAGAAGAAGCCCGGCGUAACUACGUGCCAGCAGCCGCGGUAAU
Molecule: ribosomal RNA, 485 nt
Filed under: uncultured bacterium
Lineage: Bacteria
Description: bacterial SSU rRNA
Rfam family: Bacterial small subunit ribosomal RNA
Source: RNAcentral